UAGGGCUCAUGUAGGGAAAAAUCACCAGCGACCACAGGGUGUUGGUCAUGGCGGCCAGGGGCACUGCGGCAGAUUUUUUUUUCCUUCGUUCUUUGCUGCAGUCUGGGUGCGGCUACAGCAAUUUGUCAUAGAAUCUGGGGGGCUCAUUUUUCCGGCCAAUCACUUUUAGAGAAAUGAGCGCAUUGCAGCAGAAUGCGCUGACGUCAAAGACCACCCCUUCUGCGCCUUUAUAUAAACCCCACCCAGCCAGCCCCUAGCACAGAAGAGGAAGAGCUGGAAUAGAGCUCGCCUCGGCUCUGCUGGCCUUGGCUGCAGCUCUUCCAGAAACCCGGGGCGCCCACAGAAGAAUCUCUUACCUGGCUCUCUCUUCAGGGAUGACAUCAUCGGCUCACACCAGUCUUCCAGGACCACCUUCUGGAUGCCAAGGCUGCUGCUCCUGUACCUGCUGUGCACCUCUACCUCCUGAGCCAAGGAGCAUGGAUUCCAGGAACCCACUACCAUACAGAGCAACUCCUUGUGGACCCCCCUGGGAUCAGGACAGCGAGGGACAAGCGACAAAGAGGAUCAUCAGUGGCCAGCUAGUCUCUCUGGGGUUCAAACCUUGAACCAGUGCCCUAAUUCCUGCAGCCCCUAUGCCCAGGGCUCUCCUUGCGCCAGAGGUAGGUGGGAAAGAGAACUGGGAGAGCCCGGACUCACUCAUGAGAUUGAACUUAAAUUCACACGGAGGACACUUGGACUCUUGCCACAUUGGCCCCGGCUUCUAGAGGCCUGUCUACACUCGCUGCUUUCCUUCCUCACCUCCAAUUUCCCCUCCAACCCACUGCUUCCUGACUCGCUCUUCUCCAUCGAACGGCUCUCGCUCAGCCUCCCUCUGUUUGUCUCCCUCCCUCUCCCAAUUGGAUCUGGCCCCUGUUGGGGUGCCCCUAGGCCACCCCUUCCUCUUCUGGGUGUCCCAGCACCAACCCGGUUUAAGGCUUGGCUUGCUGGCCCUGGAGAUCCCGUCGCCGUCUUCGUCGAACUCGAACUCCUAGCCAUCGUCCUUCCCUGGCCUGUCGCGUCUUCCUGUGCCAUUUGCUGUUGUGCUCAGGUUCCACGAGCUGCCCAUCUCCACAGAAGAGCAGCUGGCAUUGCCCACCGGCCAUGCCGGCUGAAGAAAAGAAGACUGAGGACCCCAGGACGCCCAGCACGAGGACCCCAGGAAGCUCAGCGCGAGGACUCCACCCAUGACGCCCAGCGCGAGGACUUCACGCACAACACGUUGCAACCCUCCUGGAUUAGGCCAAAGCCAUCAUCUGGAAUCCUGCGUGGGACCCUGGACACACGGACACAGACACCUGCCCCCAGGACCCUCCAACUGUAAAUU
This 1363-nucleotide long non-coding RNA is filed under the name Mus spicilegus (steppe mouse). Its description in RNAcentral is "lncRNA (ENSMSIG00000007163.1)". Lineage: Eukaryota; Metazoa; Chordata; Mammalia; Rodentia; Muridae. The record is from RNAcentral.